CCAAUAGCGUAUAUUAAAGUUGUUGCAGUUAGAAAGCUCGUAGUUGAAUUUCGGGAUUCUACCGUUGGUCGGGCUAACAAGUCUGUACUGGUGUGUAGAAUUUCUACCUUCUGGGGAACUAUCAUGUUAUUAAUUUAGCGUGGUGGGAAACCAGGACCUUUACCUUGAAAAAAUUAGAGUGUUCAAAGCAGGCUUACGUCUGAAUACAUUAGCAUGGAAUAAUAGAAUAGGACGGUGGUCCUGUUUUGUUGGUUUCUGAAUCACCGUAAUGAUUAAUAGGGAUAUUUGGGGGCAUUAUUAUUCAAUUGUCAGAGGUGAAAUUCUUGGAUUUAUUGAAGACUAACUUCUGCGAAAGCAUUUGCCAAGGAUGUUUUCAUUAAUCAAGAACGAAAGUUAGGGGAUCGAAGACGAUCAGAUACCGUCGUAGUCUUAACCAUAAACUAUGCCGACUAGGGAUCGGACGAUGUUAAAUUUUAUUGACUCGUUCGGCGCCUUACG
This 498-nucleotide ribosomal RNA is filed under the name uncultured Glomeromycotina. Its description in RNAcentral is "partial small subunit ribosomal RNA". It matches the Rfam family "Eukaryotic small subunit ribosomal RNA", at positions 591 to 1092 of the family's 1831-position model. The record is from RNAcentral. Lineage: Eukaryota; Fungi; Glomeromycota.